This 544-nucleotide ribosomal RNA is filed under the name uncultured fungus. Its description in RNAcentral is "eukaryotic LSU rRNA". The stretch from base 203 to 356 matches the Rfam family "5.8S ribosomal RNA". The record is from RNAcentral. Lineage: Eukaryota; Fungi.
AAGUCGUAACAAGGUCUCCGUUGGUGAACCAGCGGAGGGAUCAUUACUGAGUGCAAACUCUCCAACCAUUGUUUAUCUACCUAUUUUGCUUCUCCGGCAGGCGGUUCCAGGGAGGGACCAAGCCUAUAGCUAGCCUAAGCACCUGCCGGGGGGGUACCUACUGCUCUAUAUUAUACUGUCUGAGAAAACAAAAAAAUAUCAAAAUUUUCAAUUGUGGAUCUCUUGGUUCUGGCAUCGAUGAAGAACGCAGCGAAAUGCGAUAAGUAAUGUGAAUUGCAGAAUUCAGCGAACCAUCGAAUCUUUGAACGCACAUUGCGCCCAUUAGUAUUCUAUUGGGCAUGCCUGUUCAAGCGUCAUUUCAACUCUCAGGCUUCGGUCUGGUGCUAGGGCAUUGCACUGCAAGCCCUGAAAAAUAGUGGCGGACUCACUGAAAUCCGAGCGUAGUAAUUUCUCUCGCUAUGGACUUUUGGUGAUGCUCCUGCCGUAAAACCCCCCCAUAUUACAAGGUUGACCUCGGAUCAGGUAGGAAUACCCGCUGAACUUA